Molecule: ribosomal RNA, 497 nt
Filed under: uncultured bacterium
Lineage: Bacteria
Description: partial 16S ribosomal RNA
Rfam family: Bacterial small subunit ribosomal RNA
Source: RNAcentral
GAUGAACGCUGGCGGCGUGCCUAAUACAUGCAAGUCGAGCGAACAGACGAGGAGCUUGCUCCUUUGACGUUAGCGGCGGACGGGUGAGUAACACGUGGGUAACCUACCUAUAAGACUGGGAUAACUUCGGGAAACCGGAGCUAAUACCGGAUAAUAUUUCGAACCGCAUGGUUCGAUAGUGAAAGAUGGCUUUGCUAUCACUUAUAGAUGGACCUGCGCCGUAUUAGCUAGUUGGUAAGGUAACGGCUUACCAAGGCAACGAUACGUAGCCGACCUGAGAGGGUGAUCGGCCACACUGGAACUGAGGCACGGUCCAGACUCCUACGGGAGGCAGCAGUAGGGAAUCUUCCGCAAUGGGCGAAAGCCUGACGGAGCAACGCCGCGUGAGUGAUGAAGGUCUUCGGAUCGUAAAACUCUGUUAUUAGGGAAGAAUAAACGUGUAAGUAACUGUGCACGUCUUGACGGUACCUAAUCAGAAAGCCACGGCUAACUACGUG